CGUCACUUCUGAUCAUCAUAGCGGAUACGCGAAGAUAACUGGUGGGUAUUUCUAGAGCUAUUACGUGGCACCAAAGCUCCCGAUUUUUGAAGAGCGCAUCUAUUAGAUUAAAACCAAUCGGGUUCGCGCCCGUCAUUGGUGACUCUGAAUAACUAUAGCUGAUCGCAUGGUCUUGAACCGGCGACGUGUCUAUCAAGUGUCUGCCUUAUCAACUUUCGAUGGUAGUUUAUGUGCCUACCAUGGUUGUAACGGGUAACGGAGAAUAAGGGUUCGACUCCGGAGAGGGAGCCUGAGAAACGGCUACCACAUCCAAGGAAGGCAGCAGGCGCGCAAAUUACCCACUCUCGGCAUGAGGAGGUAGUGACGAAAAAUAACGAGACCGUACUCUUUGAGGCCGGUUAUCGGAAUGGGUACAAUUUAAACCCGUUAACGAGGAUCUAUGAGAGGGCAAGUCUGGUGCCAGCAGCCGCGGUAAUUCCAGCUCUCAAAGUGUAUAUCGUCAUUGCUGCGGUUAAAAAGCUCGUAGUUGGAUCUGCGCCUCAGGACUUGGUCCGCCCACUGGGCGAGAACUAGGCUCCUGGGCUAGUUCUGCUGGUUUUCUCUACGUUGCCUUCAUCGGUCGCGUAGGGUGGCUAGCGAGUUUACUUUGAAAAAAUUAGAGUGCUUCACGCGGGCUUAUGUCUGAAUACUCGUGCAUGGAAUAAUAGAAUAGGAUCUCGGUUCUAUUUUGUUGGUUUUCUGAUCUGAGAUAAUGGUUAAGAGGGACGGACGGGGGCAUUCGUAUCGCUGCGUGAGAGGUGAAAUUCUUGGACCGUAGCGAGACGUCCGACUGCGAAAGCAUUUGCCAAGAAUGUCUUCAUUAAUCAAGAACGAAAGUCAGAGGCUCGAAGGCGAUCAGAAUUCCCGGCCCAUCC
This 914-nucleotide ribosomal RNA is filed under the name Contracaecum sp. HSP4-1. RNAcentral's name for it is "SSU rRNA". It matches the Rfam family "Eukaryotic small subunit ribosomal RNA", at positions 113 to 1020 of the family's 1831-position model. The record is from RNAcentral. Lineage: Eukaryota; Metazoa; Nematoda; Chromadorea; Rhabditida; Anisakidae.